GACGAACGCUGGCGGCGUGCUUAACACAUGCAAGUCGAACGAUGAUGCUGGAGCUUGCUCCAGUUGAUUAGUGGCGAACGGGUGAGUAACACGUGAGCAAUCUGCCCUUGACUCUGGGAUAACUGCGGGAAACUGUAGCUAAUACCGGAUACUUUCACCGGAAGGCAUCUUCUGGUGAUGAAAGACUUUCGGUCAGGGAUGAGCUCGCGGCCUAUCAGCUUGUGGGUGAGGUAACGGCGCACCAAGGCGACGACGGGUAACCGGCCUGAGAGGGUGACCGGUCACACUGGGACUGAGACACGGCCCAGACUCCUACGGGAGGCAGCAGUGGGGAAUAUUGCACAAUGGGCGCAAGCCUGAUGCAGCAACGCCGCGUGAGGGAUGAAGGCCUUCGGGUUGUAAACCUCUUUUAGCAGGGAAGAAGCGAAAGUGACGGUACCUGCAGAAAAAGCACCGGCUAACUACGUGCCAGCAGCCGCCGUAA
RNAcentral lists this ribosomal RNA (484 nucleotides) under uncultured bacterium. RNAcentral's name for it is "partial 16S ribosomal RNA". It matches the Rfam family "Bacterial small subunit ribosomal RNA", at positions 28 to 523 of the family's 1533-position model. The record is from RNAcentral.